This is a non-coding RNA of Potamilus streckersoni, 75 nucleotides long. NCBI's taxonomy places the organism in Eukaryota, Metazoa, Mollusca, Bivalvia, Unionida, Unionidae. The record is from the annotation of a GenBank genome assembly.
GACAUCCGGUGGCCUAGUGGUUAGAGCGCUCGCCUCGGAUACGGGAUGUCGUGGGUUCGAACCCCUGCCGAGUCA